AGAGUUUGAUCCUGGCUCAGGACGAACGCUGGCGGCGUGCCUAACACAUGCAAGUCGAGCGGGGAGACCCUUCGGGGUUUUCUAGCGGCGGACGGGUGAGUAAAGCGGCGGACGGGUGAGUAACGCGUGAGCAACCUUUCCUUCACAGGGGGAUAACGCAGCGAAAGCUGUGCUAAUACCGCAUAAGACCACGGAGCCACAUGGUUUUGAGGUCAAAGGAGCAAUCCAGUGAGGGGUGGGCUCGCGUCUGAUUAGCUAGUUGGUGAGGUAACGGCCCACCAAGGCAACGAUCAGUAGCCGACCUGAGAGGGUGAUCGGCCACACUGGGACUGAGACACGGCCCAGACUCCUACGGGAGGCAGCAGUGGGGAAUAUUGGGCAAUGGGCGAAAGCCUGACCCAGCAACGCCGCGUGAGGGAAGAAGGUUUUCGGAUCGUAAACCUCUGUCCUUGGUGAAGAGCAGAAGACGGUAGCCAAGGAGGAAGCCCCGGCUAACUACGUGCCAGCAGCCGCGGUAAUACGUAGGGGGCAAGCGUUGUCCGGAAUGAUUGGGCGUAAAGGGCGCGUAGGCGGCCUGUUAAGUCUGGAGUGAAAGUCCUGCUUUUAAGGUGGGAAUUGCUUUGGAAACUGGCGGGCUGGAGUGCAGGAGAGGUUAGUGGAAUUCCCGGUGUAGCGGUGAAAUGCGUAGAGAUCGGGAGGAACACCAGUGGCGAAGGCGACUAACUGGACUGUAACUGACGCUGAAGCGCGAAAGUGUGGGGAGCAAACAGGAUUAGAUACCCUGGUAGUCCACACGGUAAACGAUGAAUGCUAGGUGUAGGGGGUAUCGACCCCUUCUGUGCCGCAGUUAACACAAUAAGCACUCCACCUGGGGAGUACGAUCGCAAGGUUGAAACUCAAAGGAAUUGACGGGGGCCCGCACAAGCGGAGGAACAUGUGGUUUAAUUCGAUGAUACGCGAGGAAACCUUACCUGGGCUUAAAUGUAGGCUGCAUUCGGCUGAAAGGCUGAUUCCCUUCGGGGCUGCUUACAAGGUGCUGCAUGGUUGUCGUCAGCUCGUGCCGUGAGGUGUCGGGUUAAGUCCCAUAACGAGCGCAACCCUUAUCGUUAGUUGCCAGCGGGUUAAGCCGGGGACUCUAGCGAGACUGCCACCGUAAGGUGUGAGGAAGGGGGGGAUGACGUCAAAUCAGCACGGCCCUUACGUCCGGGGCGACACACGUGUUACAAUGGUAGGUACAGAGGGCAGCUACCCAGCAAUGGGAUGCGAAUCUCGAAAGCCUAUCUCAGUUCGGAUCGGAGUCUGCAACUCGACUCCGUGAAGUUGGAAAUCGCUAGUAAUCGCGGAUCAGCAUGCCGCGGUGAGUACGUUCCCGGGCCUUGUACACACCGCCCGUCAAGCCAUGGAAGCUGGGGGUGCCUGAAGUUCGUGACCGCAAGGAGCGACCUAGGGCAAAACUGGUAACUGGGGCUAAGUCGUAACAAGGUAACC
This 1488-nucleotide ribosomal RNA is filed under the name uncultured bacterium. RNAcentral describes it as "partial 16S ribosomal RNA". It matches the Rfam family "Bacterial small subunit ribosomal RNA". The record is from RNAcentral.